GGAAAAACACCACCAACUUGAAGCGACAUUUACAGACGACUCAUCCAGAAAUACAUGCGAAGGCUCAACGGAGGAGUUGGGAAGUUUGUUUGUGACAUCGGGAUCAAAUUAGGGAGGUGUGGACGCAGUGCUGAGGGGUAUUGUCUGAAAUUCUCUGAUAGUCAGUCUACUUCAUGUCUGGUGGCAUCCCUUCCACCAGUGUUCUUCGCUUCUUCUGUCUCUUGGGCCUAUCCUGCAGUCAGCCAGCCCACACUUCAGUAUCAUUUAAUGCCAAUCCGUCCCCAUCAAUUGAUACAGAGAAUUUGAUCACUGAGAAGCUUCCUAAUGUUGCUGGCACAGUACCCUGUAUCUGACCAUAUCAAACAUCAGCAUUUUUAGUGUGGAUGGAAAGCCAACAAUGUAGUGGAGUGAAGGUAUUUGCAGACCCCAAAACUCAUACUUGUCUCACAAUCCUCAAUCCAAAACAACUCGUUUUAUUCUUUUCUAAUAUGAAAACCUCCAGUAGAGCAUGUUGUGUUACCCAGAUGUCCAUCUGUUUGUAGCGCUGCACUGACGGUGAUGUGAAGUCUGUUAACACCCAUCACACACUUCAGUGUGAGCACUCUUCAGAAAAUGACUGGCUGCCCUUCUGCCCACUCAAACUGUCAGCUGUAAUGACAUUUAACCAUCCAGCUGAAUGGGCCUGUCGGUGUGUGUGUGUGUGUGUGUGUCUCCAUGCAGGUGCAUGUGUGUAUUAUCAGUUUGUGGAUACAGUGGCAGUAUUUUCAAAUAUUUAUAACAUGUACUAAGUCUAUUCUUACAUCUUGGAACAUAUAUUAAGUGGUUCUUGACCUUUCAGGCUGGUAAAAAUGAAACCAGCAGCCCAUUCAUGUCCUUUUUUAUUGUGUGAAGCAUAUUGUAUCUUUCAUCCUUUUUAUUGUUACUUGACAUUUGGCUGUUUCACUCUUGAGAGGUCAAGUCAUAAGUGGCCUCAGUGUUCACUGUGAAGGUCGGAGCCACUGAAAAGAUUUUAUCCCUUUCUAUUCAACUCUUUUUCUCAUCAAAACUUUGUGAUACAAUUACGCCAAAAAUACAGCCAAUGCAGCUGCUAUCAAUCAAUUGUGCUGUUUGGUCCAACAGUAUCUGAGGUCUGUAAAGGGGCCACUCUUAGUCCUAUUGACUGCACCAAUGAAAAAGGCACUGUAGCAUGUAAAUAAUGGGAGUCAGUUUGUUUGUGUGUGUGUGUGUGUGUGUGUGUGUGUUUGUGUUUGUAACCAUCUAAGAAUGUUAAAUAUACACACUUUAACAUUACUUUAUUUAAGUUAACCUUGUAAAAAAAAAAAAAGGUGAAAAGGUGGAUGAAGAGUUGUGGUCAAGAGGCGCUGUAGAGACUGAUAGAAGCCCUGCUUUGAAAUCUAGAUUCAUUAUAAGAUACAACUCUUUUCCUUGUGGUCAUUUGCCAUUUUGGGCAGUUUUUUUUAUUGUCAUUAUUACUUCUCAGCUUUAUGACAGUCCUUCAAACAGUUUAAAUGAAACAUGUAAAGGUCCAGUGUGUAGGAUUUAGUGGCAUCUAGCAGUGUAGUUGUGCAACUCCAUCGCUUCACCCUCUCCUUUCAGGCACAAAGGAGAAACUAUGGUGGCCAUUCUGGUCUAUGUUAGAAACAUAGCAGUGCAACAUGGCAAACUCCAUGGAAGGCAUCCUGCAGCAUCUGUAGAUAUAAACGGCUCAUAAUUGUAAUAAGAGGAUAACAAUUCCUAUAGUCAGGUGAUUUUACACUAAUGAAAACUGCCAUUAGAUCCUCCUAAAUGUUACACACUGGACCUUUAAAAGAUUCAGGAAACAAACAAGUGGUAUCAUUUAACAACAUAUACUGGUUAUUUUAUCUCAACAUGCACAUGACCAGACUAAAACAUACUUGGUCUGAUCAAGUGUAGAUCCAAAUCAAGUCAUCACAAUCCGAUCUCCUAAAGAUAACAUUUAUAUAGACAGAGAUCAGGGUUUUUUAUCAACAUGAGGAAACUUUUUUAAAUCAACAUAUUAACAAAACCGACAACAUAGUCGUCUUUAUUUGAAAAUCUGGUAAUGGAAACUACUGUAUAAGUGUUGUUGCUCAUGUUAAGCUUGCUCAAAGCACUUAUAGGGAAAGAUCGUCAUCUUGGUUGCUACGAACUAUGAUCCUUUUCUCGUUCAGUAAUACAUAAACCUGAUUUUUAGGAGACUGGGUUAAUAAUUAGCCCAGGAAUCACAAUGUUUGUCCACCCCUUCAGCGAACACAUUUCAGGAGCUCUUUGUUCAUGGAGUAAUAUUCAUGAUGAUGAAGGUUGUUGAAGUUGCUUUGGAUAGACACCUGCAGUGCAGAGUAUUCUUUUAUGACACCAUUAACAUAAUGCUGGUCAUUAAUAUGGAAGACUCCAAGACGCAUGUAACAAGCAAUAAAUCAAAAAACGACCUUGAGAGGUUGAGCUGUUGAGAGUCUUCAGAAGACUUCACAGGGUCUGAGCUGGCUACCUGAAGCUUUUUUACCUUUUGGAUUUCAUCUUGUUGCACAACAUCAAAAUGCUCCUGUUUGUGAAUUGCUUCUCAAUUACUUCUUAAUAAAUAUAUUUCCUUUGAGGCUUUAUUAUUUGGUUUGGAGCUAUUUAAAUUUCAACUAAAGGGUACAAUAAACUCUUUAAUUAGUCUCUCUACAGUUCACAUAAACUCCUAAAUAUUAAAUAUCAAACUAGAUGAAGGCUGGAGCUUUAAUCUGUGAUGUUUUAAGGGCAGUAUCUGAAGACUUUUUUUUUUUUGCUCAUUGAUCCAAACAUCCCAUAGCAUGACAUCACUUCUAUCAUCACUUUGUAACUUUGUAAAAUUGAUUGAGAUUGUGGUUCAAACUUUCUGACCUGUUCAAUGUCACGGGAACAGCAUGCAUGAAUUACACUUGAUAAGAACUGAUCCUGGAAUCUGAUGAUUAAAUUCAAGCUGAUCUUUGGUGAUUUGACCUCAUAAAAUAGUUUAAAAAAAACCACAAAGCCCAAGGCCAACAGUUAAACGGGACAGGUAAGAACCAAAUUCAGUCUUUAUUUUUUUUACCACUGCCAUUUGCAGUUUCUCAUUCCCUGUAGAUUUUUAACAUUUCCCCCUGACCUUUACAAAAUGACCAGGAAAUGGGAGGUGUAUUCAUUUCCCUUUUCUCAUUGUUGCUUCUUCCUCCAAAUUAUCAUUUGACCUUCACUGCUGUCCGAUUUCCUCGCCACAGCUCGGCAAGGAUGCUCGAUUGCAGUCGACACACAUAAAGUUGAAAAACUGGACUCUAAGUAUUUAGUCUGAAAAUGUGAAUAACAAAUAGAAUGACUGUCGUUCUCAAAAAAUGUCUUAAUGGGAAAAAUAAAUAAAUACUAUAUCUAGAAUACCUUGCUAGCAUUAUCAUCAGUUAUCAGUUAAAGUAUCACACUUUCUCUCAGUAGUAUAAGUUGUUCUUUGGAUGAACAUAACUCAAAAAUGAAUCGUUAGAGCACUAAAAUUUGUGCAGUAUUUUAAGCAUUGGUGAUAUAAUUCCAGUUUGUUCCAUUGACUUAUUUCAUUGAGGUUGACCUGAAACAUUUUUUUUGACAGGUAAUGUAAUAAUUUGCUUUAGAGGAAGAAAACUGAGUAAAUUCAACUUAAGUGGUAACAUUUGUAUAUAGAAGAUUCAUUAAAGGCAGUUUUACUUUAUUUAGAUAAAUAACACAUCUUAAAUAAGUUUGGAGAAAUGCUGUGUACUAGUUUUAAGUUCAGUUAACUCACUAAAAUUGGUACAAUUGACUUUACCCAAGUUAUCUAACAAAUACUUAAAUUACUUGUACUCAAAUCAAAUAUUUUUACAUGCUUAAAUUGUAAAAUGUUUUAAUGAUUUAAGGCAAUCAGUUUCCUUAAACAAUUUGAGUUAGACUAACCAGGUUUUACUGUGCAUAUUCUACAUUUCUUCAACGGUUGCUCUGUUAUGUCUACGCAUUGUACGGUUAUGUUCAGUGAUAACACUGUCUGGGCUGUUGGUGUGGCACAAAAAAAAAGAAAGACAGUUACAUUUGUAUAUAUUUUUGGCUGAGAUGUUUACAUGUUGUUAUAAAGAGGAACUCCAUGCUGUUGGGUGUGGUCUCUCAUAUUCAUAACCACACUGUAACUGUAAAAUAUAAGCUCUGUACUGCACAGUGGGUGUGGACAGAGCAAGCAGCAACCAUGAAACGACAGAACAAGCAGGAUUAUCAUUAUGAGCCUGGGUGUGGUUGUUCUUUUAAUCCUAAACAAUCUCUAAGCAAACACACGUGACAACGCCCAGUUUAAAUUGGAACAGCAAUUGUUAGUUCUACAUACUGAAUGUGCUUUCUAUUGCCUUUAGAUGAUUCAAGUUCAAAAAGAUUGGAAUGACACAUGAGUAAUAUAUAUGCAAUCUUUGGCUUCACAGACAUUAUAACCGUUAGGCUGAACAGAUUUAAAUCGUCCUGUACAAAAUCUACCUAAAAUGUGGGAAAAAAGAAUCUAAGACUGACUGUAUUUUAAUUUAACAUCAUUGUUUGUAGGUGCUAGCCAUGAGAUUUAAUAUCAGCUGUAUUAACUGUUCAUUUUGAAAUGGUUAGGUAUUGUAUUUUAUAGUCACCACACUCAUGAUUCCUUAUUACUUAUCCUAUGAGUAAGGUAUUAGUCUAAUUUAUUGCUAUUUAGACAGAACCAUCCUGGAGACUUGGACUUGCAUUUGGUGACUUAUGAACGUCUGAGAGUCAUAGCUGCGUUGUGAUCAGGAUUUAUUUCCUCAAAUGUAUUGAUGCCCUGUGCGACCAAACCCUUCUUAACUAGUAUGACCCAGCACAUAGCUCAUAUUCUGGUGAGCAGUAAAGAAAGACAGCUGGCAUUACAACAUUCCUCUGUGGAAACACACAAACACUCACACAUACAUGCAUGCAGGCAAUGUGCACACAUCUCCCCGGCAACUGUCGAGGGCUACUCUCCUCUCUCUUGUUCUGCCUCCUAUAAUAUAUUUCCAGGCUGUUGUGUCUGCACCCACAGGAAUCAUGUAAUAACAGCUUGUCAAGGCUUUUUGUGCCGGGAAACAUUUGCAUAUUCAAAUGUGUUGAGGAGUGAAGCUGAUUUUCAAAUGUGCAUAUUCACAUAGUGGGUUUGUAUUCAUGUUCUGCACAGCUAAUGGACGCAUCAGUCUAAAUGUUUUCAGCUUUUUUCUGAUUUUCACAAUAAAAUAAAACGGGAGAAAAGAGCUUGCCUGAAUUUGUGUUCCUCACCUGCAUAUUUAUGCUUGUGUUUGUGCAUGUCUGAAUUCCCUCAUACCCAUGCACAAAUACAGUUCUGAUUUACAGCCCGUUUAUUCCCUGCCAAGAGACACUAUCAGCCUACAAAUAAAAGAUAAUGGAGGCCAAGUAAACACUGGGUGCACUGAGAUCAUUCCAACUCCGCAGCUUUAUCACAUCCACACACACAGAUGUAGAGAUUUCCUUUAAGGGCUUCUCAAAUCACACCAAAAACAUAUUUUACCACUUAGCCUCAGUGGUUUCCACUUGUACAGAUACUUCUACUUUUAUUUGCAGUUUAAGGUUUUCAGAUAACCGUCUCUGAGACUUGUGCCACUUCCCCAUACAAUGGAGCUGAAUGGGAUUUUAUUUGCAUUCAAAUCAUUCAACAUGAUGUUUAAAACUCAAUGUUUUCUCUUUUCAGAGACAAUGUUCCAUUCACUCAGAAUAAUCUACAGACCUUGCUAAAGAACUUUAUCAGAAUAAAUGGGAUAUCACUCCUGGAAUCACAAGCUACUGUUUAGUAUCUCUCCAACAAGUGCUCACAGUUAAAGGACAAGAUAGUCAUUUAUCAGUCACAUCACUUAUUAUUGCUCUAAAAACACUUCAUAUGCAGCACAGUCUCCCACCAAAGCAUGUAAUAGACCCGCUGAUCCACUAGAGGAUACCAUGUUAGCUUUGCGUAGACAUGAAAAGUAUACAUGUGUAUAAAGAUAUAAAAAUAUAAAAAGUGACAGUCUGCAUAGGGAGGAGGUCAACAAACAGGAUCUUUCAUCCAGGAGACCACUGUUCAGAUCCCUUAUGAAACCAAAAGUCACUGUUGAUUUUUCCGAGAUGUAACUUACAAUCUUUUCCUAAAGCUAACCAAGUACCUUUUGGCACCUAAACUGAACCUCAGCACACUUUAUGAAAGUGUAACCGAACGUUGCAUAUUUGUUUCUGCUAACUAAUAAUUUUCUGUUCAUCCAAUGCAGUGACUGACGUUAGCUGUAACUGUUAGCUAGUUACACAUCUUUUUUUUUAUAUAUCUUUUCAUAUCAUAAAGCUUCUGUAUAAUCUUAAUUGUUUUGUUGAAAAUGUUUCGUUUUCCAUUGAGUUUGUAUGCAAUCAUGCUGCCUCUAAAAUUAUCUUUAACCUGAACACACCAUUAGAGGUUUUGCGCCUGUAUAACUAGUUCUGACUUUGCUAUGUAGGCAGUCACACAGUGGUGUGUUCGUGAACACAGGUUGUUUGAAGCACAGUAUGUAUGUAUUUUUGGUUGUUUUUUUAUGGUUUAUGUCAGUCAACAGGGUUUCACCAUGACAAUACUCCCAUCAACAAAGCCAGGUCCCUACAGUGAUGGUUUUCCAACCUCUUUCCCCUUGUGGCUGACGGAGAGUUAAUCCCCACAAGCCAGGUCCCAAAAUCUGAAACCAGAAGAGUGGAUGCUGUAAACGGAAAAUGAGAUGUUCACUGACUCACAUAGGUCUAAUGUUUGCGUAUCAACACAGUGUGUCUGUGUAACUCUGGUCAACCGGCUGCUUCAGAGAAUUAGUUAUAGCCUGUCAGGUCUUUGGAAGCUGCUUUAAAUGGACUUGUCAAUGAGAAAACACAUAAACAUUUAUAUUGCUUAAGGCUGAAAUAUGGGAUGCAAUGAGCCUUUCAUAAACCCAAUUGCUCUCCUAGUGUUGAGUCAUCACACACAUUAAUGACAAUUUCAAUACCUUCAUUAGCACAAGUACACGCACACACAGACGCACACGCAGACACACAUAAUGACAAUGUGUGCAUUUGCAGCAGUUCUUAUAUUUCUAACCUAAUUGUAAUGGGGGAUGUGACUCGUGGCUGUUUAGAACUAUUGACUGGAGCUAAAGACACACUGUUUGUUUAAGUCAUCAUUAACACAACCUUCAAUAAGGGUCACUGGCCGCAAGUGUAACACUGAUUAGUGUGUGUGUGUGUGUGUGUGUGUGUGUGUGUAGAAUGUGCUUGAGUAACAGUAAAAUGAGUAUAUUUCUCUGUGUGAAAAAGACUGUAAGUCUGUAAUACAAAUACAUUUUAAAAUAUUUCCAUGUCAAACAAGGUUUUUAUAUAACUUUUGAUAAAGGAAGGAUUGGAUGGAUAAACAGUUGCGACAGACAUGACCGGAUACUUCAGCAAAUCAAACCUCAUCCCCAUCCGUCAUCUUCAACUCUAUACGUGACUGAUUGGUGACUUUGGCGUUAAAAUAAACAUCUUUAUGUUUGGAUUUUAAAUGCACUGUAAUGCAAGUAUAAAAUAGCUAUUUGAAUGGUACAUCUGUCCAAUGAGGGUUGGAAGGGUUGAUGUUGAUGUCUUGAGUGAAGCAGAAGGUCAGUCAUCUGUGGUACAGCCUGCUUAUUUUAAUACGUAUACUGUAUUAGAAUGGGAUAAUGUCUUGUUGUAUAUGAUGGAUGGGAUGCAGUGUAUCGGAUUACAUGUAUAGGCUACUGCAAAACUGAUCAAUACUUGAGUGGGUUUACAUGGAAGACCUUGACCUGAAAUUGAUCGAGGGACCUUUUUAUCAGGUUCCACUCGCAAAGCAUUAAUGUUUAAUCAUUUUUAAAAUCUGGAGACAAUACUAGGUACAUUGCAGAACUUUAUUGUGUAAAAAUGGUACAGAAAUCCUCAUAAUGUCUGUAUUUUGUGUUUGUUAUUCAAACAGGUGUUGUCCUCAUCUUUGACAGCUGUCUACCAAAAAUGUUUGCCGAAAACACUGGUGUAGCAAAUCCAGAAAGCCUCCUCAUGUUGUAAUUGUGAAGAAAAAAUAUCGCUAUAGUUGCAUAUAUUUAUCUAAAUCUGAACGACUUGCCGUUACGGUGCAUGCAAUUAAACUUGAAGCUCUUUGGUUGGAUGUUUCACACCAAAAGGCUUCUUUUACAUCCUUUAUUUCAGUUUUUAUGUACAAAUCCUCGUACUAGUGAUGCUACAUCCGUGAACAAUUUGAUUAUUUUCAACAGACCUUACCCUAUCAUUAUCCUAGUGAGUAUUUCGAAGAUAAACUUAGAGCCCAAGAAACAUGAACAAGCCAUUCUUUUGAGCGGCUUUUGAAAAGGAACAGAGCCAUGGGAUCCCUCUCCCUUCAAAGCUCUAAUUCCCACCGCUGCCUUGUACCUUUGACUUUUUAUCGGGAGAGCCACACAUAUUUUAACACAUUUGUUCAUCUUUUUUGCGGAUGAUUCAACCAGGAGAGUUACAUGUUCAACUAUCUUUGUCUAUGUACAAAAUGAAUUGGACUUCAGGAACCCAGGACGCCUGAAAUAACUCCUCCUCCGUUGUCACCACAGACAGGAUUAUUGAUGGCCUCCUAUUCUCUGUGGCCGGGCAGACAGGAAACAGAGACCCCUGCAAAGAGUGAAACAGCAUCACAACCCCUCAGGCAGGUGACCAGGUGAGUGACUCUAUAUGUGUGUGUGUGUGUGUGUGUGUGUGUGUGUGUGUGUGUGUGUGUGUGUGUGUGUACAUGAUGGGAUUUGUGCCCCGGUUGGAGUUAUGGUGGUUGCACUGACAGAGGCAAAAAGGUAAAAGGGGAAAAAGAGGAAAAGGAGGAAAAGAAUUCAUUUUCUCCAGUAGGAUGAGAGAGUUGUGUGUGUGUGUGUGUGUGUGUGUGUGUGUGUGUGUGUGUGUGUGUGUGUGGAGUAACAGUGGACUCCUGCUACCUCCAGCCCCACAGGCCUCUCAGAAUAAAUGGAUUUUCUUUUUCUAUUCUAGGACGCACUGGACCUUAUUUCCUUCUCAUUCUCCUCUCUCUUUCAAUCUCUGUCUCCAUCUCUUUUCUCCCCAAGCUACAAGACCAUGCUCACAGAUGUUUUAACCCUCAGCUCUAUUAUCUCGUAGAGUACCAUUAAUAGACUUUAAUUUAAUUGAAUAAUACUUUAUUACAGUAGACUAUAAAAAGGAGCUGAACCAAUCAAAUCAAGGCAGAUGUCCCACUGGUGCUAUAAGUAAAGAUAAGGGGGAUCAACAAAACGCAUCUGUAUCGUUGCUAUGGUUACCAGCUGGUUAAUACAUUUUACACACUGAUUCAGAGCAGGUUAAACUGAUGACUAUGCUUACUGUAAGAUGUUCCAGUAUGCAGUUUUAACAGACACCCAAUCAGAAGCAGUGAGUCCUCUAUUGUUUUCAUGUUUCGACUAUUUUUUUCAGCAGUAGGGGGGAAGGGGUUUUGUUGUACAUGUGGCAUUCGAGAAAAUAUGGUCUGCAAUGGUGAUUUUGUUCAAGCUAAAUACUAACUAGUCAAUCUGCCUCCAAAGAAGGAGUGAGAGCCGCUUCCCAGUGACAGACUCUCGUUCAGCAGCACAGUCCACUCUCUGAGCCGAGGAACCAGUGAGAGGAAAAACAGCUGUAGAGCCAGAAUACUUUCACAUCUAUGUCAGUCAAUUAAGGGAUUACUGGACAUAUUUUCUGUGACUCCACAUGGCCCCCUAAUGUUAAUGAAAUACUUUGUAACCCAAACCAAGAUGUAUAAGCUUGACCAAGCAGUUAUUUUAGUACUCUUUCCCUAAACGAGCCGUGUUUGUGCCUGAACCUGGCCAAACCUUAACCAGCACUGUGAGAUCAAGAGACUGACAAACAAUCCUGUCAAUAGGUACAUUGGGUCAAAAAAAGUUAUAAUUUUAUAUUUUAUGUAAUUAUAAACAGCGUGUUUGUCGUUUAAAUUGGAGGACUUGUCGGUUCCAAGAUGGCGCCCCAUUCAUUCUAUUAAAAGUUGUUAAAGUUAUUCAACAUUUGUGGGGCCAUAGCACCUAGACUUUAGAGUUCUCUGAACAAAUGAACGUCACAAAAUACAGCUCUUCAGCAUGUAUCACCAGCAUUAUCAGAAUGUGUGUGACGUUAAACCUGCUUCUUUUGUUGUGUGUCUGUAGUGCAUGUUUUUUCUGGAACAUCAGGUGAACUGAUUUGGACUUUUGGCUGUUACACCUAGACCAGACUAGCACUGCUGUGCUUUACUACUAAUUAGUCUUAAAGGGACAUUGUGUAGUGUUUUAAGUAUUUUAUUAGCUAAAAUCAAUGUCUUCAUUCAUAAAUGUGGUGUAAAAUUACCUCUGCCAAUGAUCUGACUUAUCCUCAUAAGCGAAGAAUUUCUUAUCUGUAUAUACAUUGGACGGGCAAGUCCAUGGAGGCUUCCAUGUCGUUCCGCCAUUUUGAAAAACUAUAAUCGCUGAGAGGGACAUAAAGCACUAGCCUACCUGUCUAGCUAAUCCACAACGCGUUUUCGUUCAGAGCCAGCGUCACAUGACUGAAACUAACUAUAACGGAGAAGGAGAUCAGUGAGAGGUGCUUGUCACUGCCCCGGCACAGUUGAAAGUCUGCACUGCACUUUAGUUAAUAAUGGAGGAUCAUACUUAUGCCGAGCCACAGGAGAAGGAAUCCUCGUCGCCAAAAAAGCGAAAAAGGGAAUUAAAAAGGCAACGUGACCGGCGAAUUCAAAAAACGAGGGUAAACAUGGGGGUAGCUUUUCCCAGGUGGAAAGAGCUAAUGAAGGAGAAAGACUUUCAAAGGGACGCUGAAGUUUUCUGCUUUCUCCUCGACAGGUAGGCUUCUUGGUACAUAACGGCUACCGUAGUUGCAAUACGCAUUUGAAAACGCGAGGCACUAGAGAGCACUAUUCGUUUGAAUGCAAAAUACAAUUUCACUGCUAGAUGGGAGAAAUUCCUACACAAUGUCUCUUUAAAACUAGUGCCUGAAAUGGGCCAGUACUCGCCAGUACUGAGCGCUGGUGAUUUUUGUCCACAUGCAUUCUCCCACUUCCUGAUGGGUCUAUGCACCCCUAAACACCUGUAACACUUGAUUACUUUUCCCGUCAUUCUGCGUAGACCCGCCCUACUCUGCCUCUGAUUGGCUAGUUAGUUUGUUUGGUUCGGUUUAGGCAUGAGGAUUGAGAUGGUUAGGGUUGAAAAACAGUCAGGGUCAGAGCGAAACAGAGGCAGGACGGAAUAUGGGUGCGGGGACAAUCCACCCUGAACCUAAGCUUUAGAAGUGGACUCACCAGAAAGUGGCAGAGCAAACGUCUUUCAUAUGUUGCUGCAUUUACAGGCAGAAACACUGCCUAACACUAUAUUACUAGCAGUAAAGCUAGCAAGCUAACUAGCUUAUCUAAGUAAAGCAGUAUAAACAGUGCAGAAUAUACAGUUACAAAAUGUAUCCAACCUGAAAGGAAACCGAUCCACAGGGUGGACUCUGGACACCCCUCAGAUGUCACCAGUGUUAAGGCACUUUGCUUUUACAGGCAAUGUCAGUCAAAACAAAAAUACUGUUGAAUUUUAUUUUGAAAACUUGUCAUCAGCUAGUGAACUGCUGAGUCCUUCAAACUCACUGAAAAAUAUUGAAUGGUGCAUGAAAAACAGGAUUCAUGUUCAGCAAGAAAUCUAAUAAACCUUAAAGCACAAUUUGUCUGAUUUUCCACCAACUCCAGAUUGGUUAAAUGUUAUUUGAGAAGCCCACACAUCUCCUCAUAUUGAAGUCCCCAAUGUUGCUUAUAUUCUCCAGCUUACUUUACCUAAACAGGAUUAGCUUUUGUGUUUUAUUGCUGGUUUCUGCCUUUGUUCUUGUUGGAAUGACGUCUCCACACUUGAUCAGCAUAACCUCCUGCCACGAGCUGUUUAGUUGAAUUCACUGGAAAAGGUGUGUAUAUUGCAGCUUUACAUCAAGUAGUGCUCUUUCUUGUUUAAAUAAUGGUCCGAUUAAAGGUCUUUUUGCUAACACAAA
Molecule: long non-coding RNA, 11946 nt
Organism: Dicentrarchus labrax (European seabass)
Lineage: Eukaryota; Metazoa; Chordata; Actinopteri; Moronidae
Exons: 4
Source: RefSeq, a predicted model, not a curated record